Molecule: ribosomal RNA, 274 nt
Filed under: uncultured bacterium
Lineage: Bacteria
Description: partial 16S ribosomal RNA
Rfam family: Bacterial small subunit ribosomal RNA
Source: RNAcentral
AUACGGAGGGUGCAAGCGUUAAUCGGAAUUACUGGGCGUAAAGCGCGCGUAGGCGGCUUUGUAAGUCGGAUGUGAAAGCCCAGGGCUCAACCCUGGAACUGCAUUCGAAACUGCGGGGCUCAAGUCCGGGAGAGGAGAGCGGAAUUCCCAGUGUAGCGGUGAAAUUCGUAGAUAUUGGGAAGAACACCAGUGGCGAAGGCGGCUAUCUGGCUCGGUUCUGACGCUGAGGCGCGAAAGCGUGGGGAGCAAACAGGAUUAGAUACCCCGGUAGUCC